Molecule: ribosomal RNA, 265 nt
Filed under: uncultured archaeon
Lineage: Archaea
Description: partial 16S ribosomal RNA
Rfam family: Archaeal small subunit ribosomal RNA
Source: RNAcentral
ACACGACUACAUUAGAUACCCGCGUAGUCCUAGCCGUAAACGAUACUCGCUAGGUGUCGGCCACGGUGCGACCGUUGUCGGUGCCGUAGGGAAGCCGUGAAGCGAGCCACCUGGGAAGUACGGUCGCAAGGCUGAAACUUAAAGGAAUUGGCGGGGGAGCACCACAACGGGUGGAGCUUGCGGUUUAAUUGGAUUCAACGCCGGAAAUCUUACCGGGACCGACAGCAACAUGAAGGUCAGGCUGAAGACUUUGCCGGAUUAGCUG